This 492-nucleotide long non-coding RNA is filed under the name Sus scrofa (pig). Its description in RNAcentral is "lncRNA (ENSSSCG00070008119.1)". The record is from RNAcentral. Lineage: Eukaryota; Metazoa; Chordata; Mammalia; Artiodactyla; Suidae.
GGGCUCUGGAGACAAGGGAGUAGGCGGUGGUGCGCCAGGGGCGGGCUCCCCCAGCCUGGCCACCAAUCCAGGGUCCCGCCGGGGAUGCGAGGGGCGGGGCUGACGUGGGGCGCCAAGGCUUAAACGUGACGGGCAGGAGGGCGUAAGGAGGAGUCCGGAGCAGGGAGCGGAGAGUGACAGGCGACGCUGUCCAAUAACAGGAGGGGUUGGGCUGCUUGAGCCAAUAGAAAGUCCGUAAGGCGGGACGAGGACUGCAGCAAGUUCGGUUGCGCGGAGACCGCAGCUGUUCCCUGUCAGUGGAGGCAGCGGCUGUAGAGGCGGUGGCGACGACUUGCGGCGGCAGCGAGGAGGUAGCACCUGCCUUCCGAGAGCUGACAGAACGCUGAGGGCCGUCCAAGGUCUACUUCUGAGUUGGAGAUUGGCUCACAAGCAGCCUCUCUCCGGUGAGCUGUAGGGAGGGGGCAGUUCUGGAGAGUCAUUGACAGAGGCUUA